Molecule: microRNA precursor, 93 nt
Organism: Chrysemys picta bellii (western painted turtle)
Lineage: Eukaryota; Metazoa; Chordata; Testudines; Emydidae
Source: Ensembl
UUUCCUGUAUAUGACCUUGGAAAUCAAGAAUGGGUGGAGCCUGUUGAAUUAAUUCUAGGCGACCCAUACUUGGUUUCAAGGGUCAGCAGGGAA